This is a non-coding RNA of Candoia aspera, 660 nucleotides long. The record is from the annotation of a RefSeq genome assembly. NCBI's taxonomy places the organism in Eukaryota, Metazoa, Chordata, Lepidosauria, Squamata, Candoiidae.
CAGCUGGUGGAGUCUGGAGGGGACGUGAGAAGGCCUGGAGAGUCCCUCUGCCUCACCUGCCAAGCCUCUGGGUUCAACUGUGGCAGCUAUCCCAUGCACUGGGUGAGACAGGCCCCUGGAAAAGGGCUGGAAUGGGUUGCAGCAAUGGGUACAUCUGACACUUACUACUCGGACAAAGUCAAGGGAUGCUUCACCAUCUCCAGGGACAACUCCAAAAGCCAAGUCUAUCUGCAGAUGAACAGCCUGAAGCCAGAGGACACGGCAGUCUAUUACUUUGCAGGAGACAAACAGUCAGAGGGCCAGUUGGUGGAGUCUGGAGGGGACGUGAGGAGGCCUGGAAAGUCCCUUCUUCUCUCCUGCCAAGCUUCUGGCUUUGCCUCCAGCAGUUCUGGCAUGCACUGGGUGAGACAGUAUCCAGGCAAAGGACUGGAAUGGGUUGCCUACAUAGGCACCUCCUCAACUCCUACGCACUAUUUGGAUAAAGUCGAGGGACGCUUCACCAUCUCCAGGGACAGUGCCGAGAACCAGCUGUAUCUGCAGAUGAACAGCCUGAGACCUGAUGACACAGCAGUCUAUUACUGUGCGAGAGACACAGUGCAAAGAAGUCAGCCUGACGCCAAGCAGAUACCUUCUGCUCCUCAGAACAGCUCUCCAAGUUGA